UGAUUUCCUACGGGAGGCAGCAGUGAGGAAUAUUGCACAAUGGGGGAAACCCUGAUGCAGCGACGCCGUGGGUGAAGAAGGUCUUCGGAUCGUAAAGCCCUUUUACCCCUGACGAGGAAGGACGGUAGGGGGAGAAUAAGCCUCGGCUAACUACGUGCCAGCAGCCGCGGUAAAACGUAGGAGGCGAGCGUUAUCCGGAGUUACUGGGCGUAAAGGGUCAGUAGGUGGUCGAACACGUCUGAUGAGAAAGCUCUCGGCUAAACUGAGAGAGGGCGUCGGAUACGGUUGGACUAGAGGGUGAUAGAGGAGCGUAGAAUUCCGGGUGUAGUGGUGAAAUGCGUAGAGAUCCGGAGGAAUACCAGUGGCGCAGGCGGCGCUCUGGGUCACACCUGACACUGAGAGACGAAGGCAUGGGGAGCGAACGGGAUUAGAAACCCCGGUAGUCCAUGCAGUAAACGAUGCACACUGGAUGUUUGGGGGUCGCAAGACCCUUGGGUAUCGAAGCCAACGCGAUAAGUGUGCCGCCUGGGAAGUACGGUCGCAAGACUAAAACUCAAGGAAUUGACGGGGGCCCGCCAAGCAG
Molecule: ribosomal RNA, 583 nt
Filed under: uncultured bacterium
Lineage: Bacteria
Description: bacterial SSU rRNA
Rfam family: Bacterial small subunit ribosomal RNA
Source: RNAcentral